GGAACAUUCUGAACAUUACUUACUUAGAUUGCCAAAUCACAAGCUUCAGUAAAAGUACACAGAUUUCUGUGGGGGAAACAAAGAGAGGGUCCAGAAAACACAUUCACAGGACAAACUGUUGUUCGCUUUUGGAACAAAGACAGAUGGCUGGAAGAUGUAGGGAUUGACAACCAGCGGAUGGUGCAACAACACAAUCAAAGAACUGUUGGAUGCCUGACAUCCCACAUUGGAUUCCAUAGUCGAAGAUAAAUGUGGUAGAGUUCAGCGAAGACCAUCUUGUCUUGUACACCAAUGGAGAAGUAACGCAGAGAUGGAGUUUGAUGCCUUCCACCAUCUUUUACGGAUGAAGAAGGCUAGAUAUCUAAAGAAGUGGAUGUAUGAAUCAUCUGUGCGAGACAGGCCGAAGCAACAUCGUCUUCUUCUCUGUCCACUUGUGAACUCACUCUUUCUCAGCAAGACCGGUGAUGGCGCAGCUUGUUUACGGACUGCAGAGGGGGAGGAGGGCAGAGGAGGAGGUGAAGAAAGAAGAUGACAGAUGCAAGCCGAGAAGGAAGAGAAGGUGAAGAGGUCUGUGACCGUAGGCAAGUCUAAUGCUUGGCUUUGGGGGAGAGUAGUUCAUCCAUCUCCCCUCUGUUUCCUUUUUCUUUUCCUGUGUUUUCCUCGGCAUCAUGUCGCUCUCUUAUUGGAUUAUUCUUCCUCAAAUUUACUGCUUGAUUUGGUGGUGUGUGUGUGUGCUGAUCUUUCCUUCUUCUUCAAUUAAUGCUUGAUUUGGUUGAGAUGUAAUGGCGUGAUGGAUCGAAGAUGAAUCAUGAAAUAAUGACAGUUCCAUUAGAUAC
Molecule: long non-coding RNA, 836 nt
Organism: Musa acuminata subsp. malaccensis (wild Malaysian banana)
Lineage: Eukaryota; Viridiplantae; Streptophyta; Magnoliopsida; Zingiberales; Musaceae
Source: RefSeq, a predicted model, not a curated record